AGUGAACGCUGGCGGUAGGCCUAACACAUGCAAGUCGAACGGCAGCACAGUAAGAGCUCGCUCUUACGGGUGGCGAGUGGCGGACGGGUGAGGCAUACAUCGGAAUCUACUUUUUCGUGGGUGAUAACGUAGGGACACUUACGCUACUACCGCAUACGACCUACGGGAGAAAGCAGGAGAUCUUCGGACCUUGCGCGAUUCAAUGAGCCGGUGUCGGAUUAGCUAGUUGGCGAGGUAACGGCUCACCAAGGCAACGAUGCGUAGCUGACCUGAGAGGAUGAUCGGCCACACUGGAACUGAGACACGGGCCAGACUCCUACGGGAGGCAGCAGUAGGGAAUCUUCCGCAAUGGGCGAAAGCCUGACGGAGCAACGCCGCGUGAGUGAUGAAGGUCUUCGGAUCGUAAAACUCUGUUAUUAGGGAAGAACAAAUGUGUAAGUAACUAUGCACGUCUUGACGGUACCUAAUCAGAAAGCCACGGCUAACUACGUG
RNAcentral lists this ribosomal RNA (492 nucleotides) under uncultured bacterium. RNAcentral describes it as "partial 16S ribosomal RNA". It matches the Rfam family "Bacterial small subunit ribosomal RNA", at positions 29 to 507 of the family's 1533-position model. The record is from RNAcentral.